Molecule: ribosomal RNA, 1067 nt
Filed under: uncultured Candidatus Solibacter sp.
Lineage: Bacteria; Pseudomonadati; Acidobacteriota; Terriglobia; Bryobacterales; Solibacteraceae
Description: bacterial SSU rRNA
Rfam family: Bacterial small subunit ribosomal RNA
Source: RNAcentral
GAGUUUGAUCCUGGCUCAGAAUCAACGCUGGCGGCGCGCCUAACACAUGCAAGUCGAACGAGAAAGUCCGCAAGGAUGAGUAAAGUGGCGUACGGGUGAGUAACACGUGGAUAACCUGCCCUUUAGUGGGGAAUACCGCUGGGAAACCGGCGACAAUACCGCAUAAGCUCGAAAGAGGAAAGCAGCAAUGCGCUGAAGGAGGGGUCCGCGGCCGAUUAGCUAGUUGGCAGGGUAAAAGCCUACCAAGGCUGUGAUCGGUAGCCGGCCUGAGAGGGCACACGGCCACACUGGCACUGGAACACGGGCCAGACUCCUACGGGAGGCAGCAGUGGGGAAUCUUGCACAAUGGGGGAAACCCUGAUGCAGCGACGCCGCGUGAGCGAUGAAGCCCUUCGGGGUGUAAAGCUCUUUCGGCAGGGACGAUUAUGACGGUACCUGCAGAAGCAGCUGCGGCUAACUACGUGCCAGCAGCCGCGGUAAUACGUAGGCAGCAAGCGUUGUUCGGAGUUACUGGGCGUAAAGGGUGCGUAGGCGGCUUCUUAAGUCUGGUGUGAAAUCUCCCGGCUCAACUGGGAGGGUGCGCCGGAUACUGAGGGGCUAGAGUGUGGGAGAGGAAAGUGGAAUUCCUGGUGUAGCGGUGAAAUGCGUAGAUAUCAGGAGGAACACCGGUGGUGUAAACGGCUUUCUGGACCAUUACUGACGCUGAUGCACGAAAGCGUGGGUAGCAAACAGGAUUAGAUACCCUGGUAGUCCACGCCCUAAACGAUGCAUAUUUGGUGGGGGCCAUUCAGUUGGUCCGUGCCGGAGCUAACGCGUUAAAUAUGCCGCCUGGGGAGUACAGUCGCAAGGCUGAAACUCAAAGGAAUUGACGGGGGCCCGCACAAGCGGUGGAGCAUGUGGUUUAAUUCGACGCAACGCGAAGAACCUUACCUGGGCUCGAAAUGCUGUGGACCAGCCUGUGAAAGCAGGCCUUCCCGCAAGGGACCGCAGUAUAGGUGCUGCAUGGCUGUCGUCAGCUCGUGUCGUGAAAUGUUGGGUUAAGUCCCGCAACGAGCGCAACCCUUGUC